RNAcentral lists this ribosomal RNA (450 nucleotides) under uncultured bacterium. RNAcentral describes it as "partial 16S ribosomal RNA". It matches the Rfam family "Bacterial small subunit ribosomal RNA", at positions 354 to 796 of the family's 1533-position model. The record is from RNAcentral.
GUGGGGAAUAUUGGACAAUGGGCGAAAGCCUGAUCCAGCCAUGCCGCGUGUGUGAAGAAGGUCUUCGGAUUGUAAAGCACUUUAAGUUGGGAGGAAGGGCAGUAAGUUAAUACCUUGCUGUUUUGACGUUACCAACAGAAUAAGCACCGGCUAACUUCGUGCCAGCAGCCGCGGUAAUACGAAGGGUGCAAGCGUUAAUCGGAAUUACUGGGCGUGAAGCGCGCGUAGGUGGUUCAGCAAGUUGAAGGUGAAAUCCCCGGGCUCAACCUGGGAACUGCCUCCAAAACUGCAUGACUAGAGUACGGUAGAGGGUAGUGGAAUUUCCUGUGUAGCGGUGAAAUGCGUAGAUAUAGGAAGGAACACCAGUGGCGAAGGCGACUACCUGGACUGAUACUGACACUGAGGUGCGAAAGCGUGGGGAGCAAACAGGAUUAGAAACCCCGGUAGUCC